RNAcentral lists this ribosomal RNA (305 nucleotides) under uncultured bacterium. RNAcentral's name for it is "bacterial SSU rRNA". It matches the Rfam family "Bacterial small subunit ribosomal RNA", at positions 337 to 659 of the family's 1533-position model. The record is from RNAcentral.
ACCUACGGGAGGCAGCAGUGGGGGAUAUUGGACAAUGGGGGAAACCCUGAUCCAGCGAUGCCGCGUGAGGGAAGAAGGUUUUCGGAUUGUAAACCUCUGUGGAGGGGGACGAUAAUGACGGUACCCCUUUAGGAAGCCACGGCUAACUACGUGCCAGCAGCCGCGGUAAUACGUAGGUGGCGAGCGUUGUCCGGAAUUACUGGGUGUAAAGGGAGUGUAGGCGGGAAAGCAAGUCAGAAGUGAAAACCCGGGGCUCAACUCCGGGAGUGCAUUUGAAACUGUCCAGCUAGAGUGCAGGAGAGGUA